UGGCCUACGGGAGGCAGCAGUGAGGAAUAUUGGUCAAUGGCCGGGAGGCUGAACCAGCCAAGUCGCGUGAGGGAAGACGGCCCUACGGGUUGUAAACCUCUUUUGUCAGGGAGCAAGGUGCAGGUCGGGACCUGCUGUGAGAGUACCUGAAGAAAAAGCAUCGGCUAACUCCGUGCCAGCAGCCGCGGUAAUACGGAGGAUGCGAGCGUUAUCCGGAUUUAUUGGGUUUAAAGGGUGCGUAGGCGGGCUGUUAAGUCAGCGGUCAAAUGUCGGGGCUCAACCCCGGCCUGCCGUUGAAACUGGCG
This 305-nucleotide ribosomal RNA is filed under the name uncultured bacterium. RNAcentral describes it as "bacterial SSU rRNA". It matches the Rfam family "Bacterial small subunit ribosomal RNA", at positions 335 to 638 of the family's 1533-position model. The record is from RNAcentral.